GCCAAUGUCGCAGUGGCAAGUCGGGUUCUUUAAGAUCUCUUGAGGACCUGUCGAUAUCUCUGCAGUCCGAGGGUCCAAAGUGACCUAAGUCAUCCUGAAGGAAUGAUAAACAAGGGGAGCAUGGACUGGUCAGCAUAGGGGGAUCGCAAACUCCCUGGCUGAACCAGAAGCUCCUCAAACCGAACUGCUGAGAAAGCGGCCUUAGAAGUUGCUAGGAAGCUGUGGUGGCAGUAAUGAAAGAAGAUGACAGGAAAGCAAAGUGAGACAUCGAGAGCACAAAGGCUUUUGAAAAAUAUCUAUGGUAACAAAUCCAUACCAUAGAUCCAUUUUUUAAAAUCAGGAAAAUUAGGGACUUCAUUCUUGCAAGCUGGAAAAAAAAAACGUUCCUGAAAAGUGCCACUAGGUGGCAGCCUCUCCCUGACUGAAGAAAUAGUAGCAUCAAUGUGUGUCAAAUCAAAGUGCAAGAAAAUACUGUAAUGAGCUUUUCAUUCCCUAUCUUUCCAACUCUCUAACUUGAACAUUGGCCUUAACUAUCAUAAAGUGUGACUACUUCAAGGAUGUAUUUUCACCACCAACAAGGAAUCCAUGAGAAAGAGAUGCAUCUGAUGUGGGGAUGUUUUGAAGCUAGAAGGAAAGUCAUAUUUUGCAAGCCUCCCGUCGAAUAUUAAAGCAUGCUGGUAUAAGGUUGAAGAUUUAAAAACAAA
Molecule: non-coding RNA, 704 nt
Organism: Pantherophis guttatus
Lineage: Eukaryota; Metazoa; Chordata; Lepidosauria; Squamata; Colubridae
Source: RefSeq, a predicted model, not a curated record